UUCAUCAAAAAAAAAUUAAAAAUUAAAAGAUCUUCUUAUGCCCGUAAUAUUUCAAUUUCUCCAAUGUGUAAUAUAUUUCUACCAAAGAAGAUCUCUUUAUCAUCCACUGCAUAUUGAAAAGACGGGUUAAUUUGUGUAAAGAUUAGAUUAGCGCUCAUUGGAUUCAUCAAAUGGUAUUAAAGCGCAGUAGCUGCAGCGUUUUCAACUUAAUACAUCGAAUAUGGGCAAAUGGAAGUUGAUUCUACGAACCAAAUACCGAAAAAUAGACAUUUUCU
This is a long non-coding RNA of Papaver somniferum (opium poppy), 275 nucleotides long. RefSeq lists it as uncharacterized. The record is from RefSeq and is a predicted model, not a curated record. Lineage: Eukaryota; Viridiplantae; Streptophyta; Magnoliopsida; Ranunculales; Papaveraceae. The transcript has 3 exons.